RNAcentral lists this small nuclear RNA (244 nucleotides) under Microtus ochrogaster (prairie vole). RNAcentral describes it as "7SK RNA (ENSMOCG00000008955.1)". It matches the Rfam family "7SK RNA". Rfam says of the family: 7SK was discovered as an abundant small nuclear RNA in the mid-70s but a possible function has only recently been suggested. Two independent studies have found that 7SK RNA binds the CDK9/cyclin T complex (known as elongation factor P-TEFb). P-TEFb activates transcription by phosphorylating the C-terminal domain of RNA polymerase II. Lineage: Eukaryota; Metazoa; Chordata; Mammalia; Rodentia; Cricetidae. The record is from RNAcentral.
GGAUAUCAGGGCAAUCUGGCUGCAACAUCUGUCACCCUGAUUGUCAGGAUUGAUUCAUUUGAUGUGGCUGGCUAGGCAGGCGCCCCCUCCCUCCCUCACCAUUCCACAUGUGUCCCUCCCAAAGUGGCAUGCUUUUCCUAAGUAUAGCGGCAUUCACCUGCUAGAAUCUCUAAACAAGGUCUCAAGGUCUCUCUAGAACAGCAACACAAGUUCUUAAACCUCACGUCAUCUCUCCACCUCCUGG